GCCCGCAAAGCGGAACCUGGAGGAACGAGGGAGGGCCGCAGUCUCGGGGAACCGGAGCCGUCGCUGCGACUCCGCCGGGACAGCAGCUUCCGGCGCCCCGGCAGCCUCCUGCCCUCGGGGCACUCGCUCCCCCGAGGUGUACUCCCCGAGGGCUGGGGGAGCGCAUUCCCUCCUGUCCUACUGAUUAACUUUCAGCAAAUGGGGCUGCCCAAAGGAGCAGACAGCGAGUGACCUGUGGCCCUGCUGUUUGAUUCUGGAUGGAGUUACGUUUAGGAGCCUGGCAGCAAACUGGGGCACCUGUUCAAUUAGUGAUGAUGCCAUACUCUGGUUGAUUUCUGUGGGGCACAUCUGUCCCUUACCAAGAAGAUCAGGCCAAGGAACACCAGGAGGAGAAUCACAGCCACCAGGACCACAAUAACUAUGGCCCAUGCAGGGAAUGAAUCAUUCUCUCCCAUCUGUCCAGCGUGGAUACCUUUCUGUGAGCCAUCUUUAUUGAGGCUGGAAGACCAAGGGCGACUUCUGCUGUUCAGUAAUUGAGCUCUGAGAUUAAAAGAUGUUGAAAGAAGUCCUCUGGCCCACCAAUUCUGGGAUACCAGUUGUCAUCAAACCACAGGAUCACAGUCCAUAACUAGACUCAGAUAACAAGAUUUUAGAAUUUUAGAUCUGCAUCAAACAGUUGUGGAACCAUAGAUUGUAAAAAGCUGAGGUAAAGCUCAAGGGAUUCCUUGGUCCUGACGCAGCCAAGAGGCAAAUCAGUGUAAACCCCCAGGACAAGAGGAGCAUCUCUGCCCCAGACGAUCUACUUUGGUAGUGACUUAUUUCCCUAGGAAGUUUUCACCAGGAGAUAUUCAUUCCACGUACAACCAUCAUAGCCCGAAAAGAACUGUUUUGGUCACUGAAGAAUAGGCAGGAGGUGCAGAGAGGAAAAUCCAACUUUAGCACAAGACACUGUGGGUGGAUGCUCAGCUGGGAUAAAAGAAUAAGAACAAAUCCCACAACAUCAAAACGAUGCACAAUGCUAAAGGUCCCCGCCAUCUGCUUCGUUCACUCAUUUGAAAGGGAGGACAUCGGCUGGACACGGUGGCUUAUACCUGUAAUCCCAGCACUUUGGGAGGCCAAGGUGGGCCUGAGGUCAGGAGUUCAAGACCAGCCUGGCCAACAUGGCGAAACCCCGUCUCUACUAAAAAUAUGAAAAUUAGCCAGGCGUGUUGGCAGGACCCUGUAAUCCCAGCUGCUCAGGAGGCUGAGGCAGGAGAAUCAGUUGAACCUGGGAGGCAGAGGCUGCAGUGAGCCAAGAUCAUGCCACUACACUCCAACCUGGGCCACAGAGUGAGACUCUGUCGAAAGAAGAAAGAAAGAGAGAGAGAGAGACAGAGAGAGAAUGAAAGAAAGGGAAAGGGAAAGAAAAGGAAGAAAAGAAAGAAAAGAAGGAAGGAAGGAAGGGAAAGGAAAGGGAAGGAAGGAAGGGAGAAAGACAGAAUAUCUUGCUAAGCAACUCAUGCCUUGGAGUCGCUGUCAGGGCACGCUGUCCCAAAAGAGCAUCUCUAGUGUUUCCUGGUAUCCUUACCCCCAUAAAUGGCAUGCUCCAUUUGCAAUAAUGUGGGUAAAUGCUUGUUAAAAUACCUAUACAGUAUGAGUUCAAUAAGUGGCUUAAAACGCAGACAUAGAAAAAGAAAAGCUGGUGGGCACAGUUGUUCACACCUAUAAUCCCAGCACUUAGGGAGGCUGAGGCAGGAGGAUCACCAGUUUGAGACCAGUCUGGGCAACAUAGCGAGACCUGUCUACAAAAAAAAAAAGGAAAGCUAAAGGGAGAUAUAAUCAAAUGAUUGCUUGGGGACUAGGGAGUAUACAGAGAUUUUAUUUUUCUUUCUUAUUUUUUCUAUUUUCCAUUUUCUACAAUGAGCAUACAUUAUUUGUGUUAUAGAAAUUAAAUCAAAUAACAUUUGUUAUAGG
Non-coding RNA from Pan troglodytes (chimpanzee), 1953 nucleotides. Lineage: Eukaryota; Metazoa; Chordata; Mammalia; Primates; Hominidae. The record is from RefSeq and is a predicted model, not a curated record.